Molecule: ribosomal RNA, 421 nt
Filed under: Pedobacter sp. Z4_120_1
Lineage: Bacteria; Pseudomonadati; Bacteroidota; Sphingobacteriia; Sphingobacteriales; Sphingobacteriaceae
Description: bacterial SSU rRNA
Rfam family: Bacterial small subunit ribosomal RNA
Source: RNAcentral
UGCGUAACGCGUAUGCAACCUACCUCAAUCAGGGGGAUAGCCCGAAGAAAUUCGGAUUAACACCGCAUAAAAACACAGUACAGCAUUGUACAAUGUUCAAAUAUUUAUAGGAUUGAGAUGGGCAUGCGUGUCAUUAGCUAGUUGGCGGGGUAACGGCCCACCAAGGCGACGAUGACUAGGGGAUCUGAGAGGAUGACCCCCCACACUGGUACUGAGACACGGACCAGACUCCUACGGGAGGCAGCAGUAAGGAAUAUUGGUCAAUGGAGGGAACUCUGAACCAGCCAUGCCGCGUGCAGGAAGACAGCCCUCUGGGUCGUAAACUGCUUUUAUUCGGGAAUAAACCUACUUACGUGUAAGUAGCUGAAUGUACCGAAGGAAUAAGGAUCGGCUAACUCCGUGCCAGCAGCCGCGGUAAUAC